UCAUAUGCUUGUCUCAAAGAUUAAGCCAUGCAUGUCUCAGUGCAAGCCGUCUAGUACGGUGAAACCGCGAAAGGCUCAUUAAAUCAGUUAUGGUUCCUUAGAUUGUACCCACGUUACUUGGAUAACUGUGGUAAUUCUAGAGCUAAUACAUGCCGACAGAGUUCCAACCAAUUGCACGACCUCGGUCGUCGCAUUUAGGAAGGAACGCUUUUAUUAGAUCAAAACCGGCUAAGCGACGGUUACCUCGUGUUUCCGUCGUUAGUGGCCUGCGCAAAGAUUUGGUGACUCUGAAUAACUUCGAGCUGAUCGCACGGUCUCGUACCGGCGACGUAUCUUUCAAAUGUCUGCCUUAUCAACUGUCGACGGUAGGUUCGACGCCUACCGUGGUGGUAACGGGUAACGGGGAAUCAGGGUUCGAUUCCGGAGAGGGAGCCUGAGAAACGGCUACCACAUCCAAGGAAGGCAGCAGGCGCGCAAAUUACCCACUCCCAGCUCGGGGAGGUAGUGACGAAAAAUAACGAUACGGGACUCAUUCGAGGCCCCGUAAUCGGAAUGAGUACACUUUAAAACCUUGGUCACACGAGGAUCAAUUGGAGGGCAAG
This 602-nucleotide ribosomal RNA is filed under the name Cyphonococcus alpinus. Its description in RNAcentral is "SSU rRNA". It matches the Rfam family "Eukaryotic small subunit ribosomal RNA", at positions 24 to 559 of the family's 1831-position model. Lineage: Eukaryota; Metazoa; Arthropoda; Insecta; Hemiptera; Pseudococcidae. The record is from RNAcentral.